This is a long non-coding RNA of Canis lupus familiaris (dog), 2897 nucleotides long. RefSeq lists it as uncharacterized. NCBI's taxonomy places the organism in Eukaryota, Metazoa, Chordata, Mammalia, Carnivora, Canidae. The transcript has 3 exons. The record is from RefSeq and is a predicted model, not a curated record.
ACGCAGGCAGCGGCUUGUGAACGCGGGCGGCGCUCCCCGAGGGUGAGCGCUGGGUAAACAAGGUCUGCGAGUUACAGGAACUCCCCACGGUGGCUUCUUGGGGAGAAGGAAAGUCUUUGGGGCUGGGAACCCGCGGACCGCCAGCCCCCAGCCCCCUCCCCGCUGUACAUCUUUGUGAGUUUCUGGGUUGUGUAACCUUUGGAGCCUCUCCCUUCGGCCUGCCUGCCUGAUGAUCCUUUCCGCCCUCGUAACCCUCCACUUCCCACACGCUGGAACCGCUGAGGUCAUGUGGUCAGGAGGUACAAUUUCCCAGUUUUUCAUACGAGAGCUUUUAACCCAGAGACUGUGGUGCAUGGCUACAGGGCGAGAUGAGCGCUUCUCCAGACUGUGCAGCCUUCGGGACAGAACGUGGGUCGCUUUGAUUUGGGCCGAGCCGGGUCCUCACCCCAGGGUGUAGCCACUUGGGACAGGUCACCCCUUAUUUCUCCUGGAGGAGACAGCUGUGUUUCACCAGGGGUAAAAUGAUUUAUGUGCACAAUUUAAAUAGUGUUUUGGAGCUCCGAGGCAUGCAAAAUGCAGCAUAACUGGAAGUAUAGAAAAAAUACAACAACACAUGAAGAUAUGUUGAAGCCACUUUGUACCUGCUUUCAGUUCUACUCUCCAAACCCUCUGGAGGUAGCCACUAUUCCAAAAUUGCAGGGACACAGAGAGCUGUGUGUGGCCCCAGACCAGCCAGACUUCUGCUACAUCAUUCUGGUAAUAAACAGCCUUGACAAAGGCCUCUGGUGACCUUCAUGUGGCUAAACUCAAUGGAGAUUUCUUAGUCCUCAUCUUUUUCAAGUUCUGAGGAGCCUUGACAAUCACUUCCUUCUUUUGAAAAAAAGGCUUUUCUUAUGACUUUGGAGGCAUCAUAUUCUCUUGAUUCUCCUUCCUCUUCUCUGGCUAAUCCUUCUUAAUAAGAGUAAGCCCGUCCCCAGAUGUUACAUUUUGGAGCUUCUAAACAUUUAAUCCUAAAAAUCAAUCUCAAACUCAAUCUCUGUGUGUGUGUGUGUGUGUGUGUGUGUGUGUAUGUGUAUAUGGUAUGUGGUAUACCAUACCAUACAGUGGUAUGUGUGUGUGUGUAUAUAUGGUUUUUGUUUUGUUUUGUUUUUUACUCUUUACUCUGUAUCUAGCAAACUCACUGCUGCCCAUGAUUACUCCCAUCUAUACACCAGUGGUUUCUAAGUUUGUAUCUCUAACCUGAACUUUGGGUUCUAGACCUGUAGCCAGCUGUAUCAGUUGGCAGCCUUAAGGGUGCUUCAGGUUAGAUAUGCUCUAAACUAACCUCAUGAUCUUUCCCUUAAGUAUUGUCCUCCUCUACUUAUAUCCAUUUCUUUAUAAGCCAUUAGUAUCCAUCUGAAACGUAGCCAGAAACAUAGGCAUCGCCCCCGAUAUAUUGAUUUCUCCAACCCCCUCUCCUACCAAGGAUCUAAAUCUAUCACUAAGCUCUGAAAAUUUUAUCUUCUAGAUAGCUUUUGGCUAUACCUACAUCUUUGUAUCUCUGUGUUCACCAUUGUCCAAUUUAUUGCUGUCCUUUGCUUGGAUUAAUGUAAUGAUGGCUUAACUUGUUUUCCAGAAUCUUCUUUGGUUUCUUUUCAGUCUACUCUCUGAGUAGUAGUUGCUCAUCUUUCCAAAACACAAAUUUGGUCAUGUUCCCUCAGGCCCCAUAAAAGCCUUUGUAUCUGUCAGAAUAAGUUAGGUAAUCCUGUUGUAACAAACAACCCCAGAAAUCUCCUUAGCUUUCAACAACAGCAGUUAUUGCUCAUUCACAGCAUGUCUGUUGCUUUGCUCCAUGGACAUUUCACUUUGGAAUUCAAGCUGAUGGAGUAGCCCCUGUAUAUAACAUUGCUGGUCAUGGUAGCAAUGACAUGACUGAAGAGGAAGUGUAACCCACAUGCUGGCUCUGAAAGCUUCUGCCUAGAAGGGACACAUACUACGGUUGCCCACAUUUCAUUGGCCAUAGCAGGUCACAAAGUCUUCUCUGAGUUCAGUAGGAAUGGAUGCAAUCUUCCUACAGGGAGGAACACUGGAGGAAGUAAAGUCAGAAUAUUUGACAACCGGGAAUUUACCACAAUUCACCAUUCCCUUCAGUGACUUCCUAUUGUUUCAAGGAUGAAAUCCAAAACCUUACCAGACCUGCAAGACUCCUGGUGAUGUUCUCUGCCUUGAACUCCCCAGCUUUACCUGUCACCUCUCUAUCUCUCAUUCUCUAAGCUCUACUACACUAUUCAUUCCUUCUUUGACCACACACUCUCUCUUUUAGGAUCCCUGAUCAUGCUGAUCCCUCUCUCUAUUCUUUUGCCUGUCCUCCUCUUCAUCCUUUAUUCUGCAGAAAAGCCUUCCCUGAAUCUCCAGACUAGCUCCGGUUCUGUUGUCAUAUGCUUACAUGAAAUGACAUUCUUUCUCUUCAAAGCUCACUUAUUUGAGCUUUUAAUUAUAAAUCCAUUAGUGUGACUAGGUGAUGAAUGUUUGUCUUCUCUGCCUCGGCUCUGGGUUCAAUGAGAAUAAGAACCAUGUCUGGUUUUGCUCAUCAUUAUAUAGACAGGAGGCAUCACAAUGCUUUAAACUUAGUAAAUCUUCAGUAUAAGUUGACUGAAUGAAUGAAAAAGGAAGAAAUUGAAAUGCCUAGAAGAACCAUAUGAAGAAUUGAAUGUACUUGAUUUGGGGAAGAGAAUACUCACAUGGGAGGAGCUGAAAAGCUAUAUACGUAUGGAGGGCCUCCACAGAAAAGUGAAAGUGAGAAUUGAUUUUUUAAAAAGAUUUUUUAAAACUUAUUUGAGAGAGAGAGAGAGAGAGCGUGAACAAGUGGGGGGAGAGGCAGAGGAACAAGCAGACUCUCCGUUGAGCAGGGAGCCCGA